AUGUCCCCAAACCCCCAAACCACCCAAAAAACCCCAAAUCUCCCCCCAAAAAAACCCAAACCCCCCAAAUCUCACCUGGUCCUGCGUCCCAGCGAUGUCCCCGAUGUCCCCAAAACCCCAAAUCUCCCCCAGAAACCCCCAAAAAAUCCCAUAAAACCUCCAAAAUCCCCAAAUCUCACCUGGUCCUGCCGUACCAGUGAUGUCCCCGAUGUCCCCAAAACCCCCAAAAAUCCCCAAAAAAAACCCAAAUCUCACCUGGUCCUGCCGUCCCAGCGAUGUCCCCAUUUCCCCAAAACCCCAAAUCUCUCCCAGAAACCCCCAAAAAAUCCCCAAAAAACUCCAAAAACCCCAAAUCUCACCUGGUCCUGCCGGUCCCGCGGCGUCCCCGCGCUGUCCCGGUGCUGUCCCCGGUGCUGUCCCCGGUGUCCCCGGUGUCCCCUCCCGUGUCCCCUCCCGUGUCCCCCGCCGUGUCCCCGCUGUCCCCAUGUCCCCAAAACCCCCAAAAAUCCCAAAAAAACUCCAAAAAUCCCCAAAUGUCACCUGGUCCUGCCGGUCCUGCGGCGUCCCCGCGGUGUCCCGGUGCUGUCCCCUGUCCUGUCCCCGCUGUCCCCUCCCGUGUCCCCUCCCGUGUCCCCCGCCAGCCUCCGCGCGAUCCGCGCCUCCACCGCCAGCGCCACCGCGGUGCGGACGCGGCCCGGGGCGCAGGGACGGCGACACUGGGGACAGCGGGGCCAGCCCGGGGGGGACGCUGGGGACACCGGGGACAGCCCGGGGGACAUUGGGGACACUGUUGGGGACAGCGGGGGCAGGAGGCAGCGGCGGCAGCAGCGGUGCUCGCACGGCAGCAGCACCGGGUCCCGCAGCGCGGCCCCGCAGCGCGGACACGACGUGGCGGCGGCCAAAGCGGCCAAAGGACCGCGGGACGCGGCGGGAGGCGACAUCGGGGACAGGGGGGCAGAGAGGGGACAGAGAGAGGGGACACAGAGAGGGGACAGCGGGACAGAGGGGAGGGCGCGGGGCUGGCACCGCCGGGGACAGGCGGGGACAGGGGAGGGGACAGGAGGGACACAAACAAACACGGGACACGAGGGUGCCACGGGGGUGCCACGGGGGUGA
Molecule: long non-coding RNA, 1116 nt
Filed under: Taeniopygia guttata (zebra finch)
Lineage: Eukaryota; Metazoa; Chordata; Aves; Passeriformes; Estrildidae
Description: lncRNA (ENSTGUG00000020053.1)
Source: RNAcentral